Molecule: ribosomal RNA, 440 nt
Filed under: uncultured bacterium
Lineage: Bacteria
Description: partial 16S ribosomal RNA
Rfam family: Bacterial small subunit ribosomal RNA
Source: RNAcentral
CCUACGGGAGGCAGCAGUAGGGAAUAUUGCUCAAUGGGGGAAACCCUGAAGCAGCAACGCCGCGUGGAGGAUGAAGGUUUUCGGAUUGUAAAAUCCUUUUGUUAGAGAAGAUAAUGACGGUAUCUAACGAAUAAGCACCGGCUAACUCCGUGCCAGCAGCCGCGGUAAUACGGAGGGUGCAAGCGUUACUCGGAAUCACUGGGCGUAAAGGGCGCGUAGGCGGGAUAGCAAGUCAGAUGUGAAAUCCUAUGGCUUAACCAUAGAACUGCAGUUGAAACUGUUAUUCUAGAGUAUGGGAGAGGUAGGUGGAAUGCGUGGUGUAGCGGUAAAAUCCGUAGAGAUCAAGAAGAAUACUCAUUGCGAAGGCGACCUGCUAGAACAUAACUGACGCUGAUGCGCGAAAGCGUGGGGAGCAAACAGGAUUAGAUACCCCAGUAGUC